This 1206-nucleotide ribosomal RNA is filed under the name Aurelia aurita (moon jelly). RNAcentral's name for it is "SSU rRNA". It matches the Rfam family "Eukaryotic small subunit ribosomal RNA", at positions 34 to 1229 of the family's 1831-position model. The record is from RNAcentral. Lineage: Eukaryota; Metazoa; Cnidaria; Scyphozoa; Semaeostomeae; Ulmaridae.
GUAUAAAAUAGCCUGCAUGUCUAAGUAUAAGCACUUGUACUGUGAAACUGCGAAUGGCUCAUUAAAUCAGUUAUCGUUUAUUUGAUUGUACCUUACUACAUGGAUAACCGUGGUAAUUCUAGAGCUAAUACAUGCGAAAAGUCCCGACUUCUGGAAGGGAUGUAUUUAUUAGACUAAAAGCCAAUACGGGUGCUCUUUUGGGCACACGUUCAUGUGGUGAUUCAUGAUAACUUCUCGAAUCGCAUGGCCUUGCGCCGGCGAUGUUUCAUUCAAAUUUCUGCCCUAUCAACUGUCGAUGGUAAGGUAGUGGCUUACCAUGGUUACAACGGGUGACGGAGAAUUAGGGUUCGAUUCCGGAGAGGGAGCCUGAGAAACGGCUACCACAUCCAAGGAAGGCAGCAGGCGCGCAAAUUACCCAAUCCCGACACGGGGAGGUAGUGACAAGAAAUAACAAUCCGUGUCCAUAUUCUGGAUGCGAAAUUGGAAUGAGUACAAUUUAAAUCCUUUAACGAGGACCAAUUGGAGGGCAAGUCUGGUGCCAGCAGCCGCGGUAAUUCCAGCUCCAAUAGCGUAUAUUAAAGUUGUUGCAGUUAAAAAGCUCGUAGUUGGAUUUCGGGAUGGGCCAGUCGGUCUGCCGCAAGGUAUGUUACUGGCUGGUCUGUCCUUCUUCGCAAAGACUGCGUGUGCUCUUAACUGAGUGUGCGUAGGAUUUGCGACGUUUACUUUGAAAAAAUUAGAGUGUUCAAAGCAGGCUAACCGCUUGAAUACAUGAGCAUGGAAUAAUGGAAUAGGACUUUGGUUCUAUUUUGUUGGUUUCUAGAACUGAAGUAAUGAUUAAGAGGGACAGUUGGGGGCAUUCGUAUUUCGUUGUCAGAGGUGAAAUUCUUGGAUUUACGAAAGACGAACAACUGCGAAAGCAUUUGCCAAGAAUGUUUUCAUUAAUCAAGAACGAAAGUUAGAGGCUCGAAGACGAUCAGAUACCGUCCUAGUUCUAACCAUAAACGAUGCCGACUAGGGAUCAGCGGGCGUUAUUUUAUGACCCCGUUGGCACCUUAUGGGAAACCGCUGAAGUGGAUAGCCGAGAAGAAGUAUCGCUAAUAGUUCGAUCAUUUAGAGGAAGUUGGACGAAAAGUCGUACCAAUCAGGAAUUGGAACCCUGCGGGUUUAAUUUUGACUUAACACCGGGAAAACUUACCAAGGUUCAAA